UGGCUCGAGAUUUUGACCUUGGAAUCAGUCUACGAUGGUGUUGCCUGUGUAUUGGUGGCACUUCAUCUCUCCCUCCUGAUGCGUGCGAAUCCUAAAGCAGCGGCCUCUCUCAUUGAUCCUCUCUCUUGUCUGUCGUUGUACUUCCUGACCUUUCAAUCUGUACCUGUAUUUGUUCUCAAGUCUUAGCUCAGUGACCGGUCAGCUUCAAUGUGAUGAGUUCGGCUAGAUCCGCUUGGUGAAGAAAUGGUGUACCUGUACCACCUUGGUGCGGUUCCUGGUGGUUGAUAUCCAUGGAGGGGAUGGGUCUGCAAAAGCUGGCACUAGAAAAUGGACAAGAUGGGAACAACAAGCUUCAUUCCCUCCCCUUUCUCUAAAGCCCCUCUUUUUUUUACAUCAAUUGCUUUUUAUUUUAUAAUUUUAUUGCCAAUAAUUUUGCUCAGGAAAGUUUAGAGGGAUGAUAUGCUAUUUGCUAAGCGCGAGCUUCAUUGUUCAUCAGUUUAUGGUUCACUUGCCCAAAUCAAAAAAUAUUAAUUGCAGUUGACCAAAAGCAACUAGAUCGUGCUAUUGCAUCAGUUAAAUAAACAAUCUUGACAAACCUAGAAUCCAAGGUAUGCAUUGUGAUAUGUUUCUGUAGUUUUUUUUUUUGCGAGAUGAUAUGUUUCUGUAGUUGAUGAUCCACUAAUAAUAUAAACGGACAUGUUGUACAAGUGAAGACAUGGGGCGCCAACUAUUGACAUUUAGGGGGAGAGCAGAGUAUUUUAACAUCUCUUCCCUAAACCUUGAUAUUUCGCCUGGUGCUUAUGGUUCUAUUCCAUGCAAGGCCGAGAAAUAAGGAAUAGCUUGAUGGUGACAAUGACAUGCCAACUUAUAGGUGUAUUGUAUGUUGGUACUUGGUUGCUCUUUUACUGGAAGAAAAUGAUUCGUGUUUGUUUCCGAUCUGUUUGACGAAAUUGCUCUAUAAUGGCACGUAACACAUUUUUUCAUCCUCUGAGCUGCUCAGCAUACAUGUAAAUAUUUGGACUGCGAAAUGGAUCUUAGCCAUUGACUGACAAAGAAGGGUGCGAUCUUUCACCGGAGGUAAGUCCUUGCCUUCAAGUUUGCAUGUCAUGUGUGGUGACUUUUGUUAGAAUAACUUUGCAAAUUGUAAGGAUAUACUGCCAUAUUAUCCUAUAAACUGCUAUUCCUAUUUUGGCAAGCAAAAAAAAUCAGAAUACCAUCAAAUCAGUAGGGAGACUUGCAUGUCCAAUUGUAAUUGUUUCUUUCGUACUUUCCAGAACAUUUCUGUGUUUAUUUUCUGCAUUCUGAAAUCUAGCUGGCAGCAAACUCAUAUUUUACCAAUGCAAUAAUAUGCAGUACUGCUACAUCUACAAUAUAAGCUGUGCUCUGUUGGAAACAAAGGCGCUCGUGUCUUGUAUCAUGGAUACGUACAAACCUUUGCCCUUUGAGUAAAGGUGCAUUUUGGCACUCAAAAAAUCAUUACAGAAAUUCUUAUGUGUAUUUUAUACUGUCAAAAUAUUAACUCAUUGUCCUAGGGCUAAUGCCUUUCCAGUUCCAUCUCAAAUAUUUUACAAUCUUUCUAGCUACUAUCACUUCCUAUCUUUGGUUGGUUAAAUAAAAUAUACUUUAACUGCAUUUUACUCCAAUCAUAAUUUAUAUAACUUAAUGUAGUAAGAAUCACUCCAAGGUUAUAUUUAAGCUGAUUGGAACACUGCAUCAGCUUAUGAUUGUUAUGUUGGGAACUUGGGAUCAACAAUUUGGAUUCUUAUGUCAUGUUGCCAACGGGCCAUGAUGUUGGUUUCUUAUGUCAUGUUGCGAAUCAGGUUUUGUGGUUGUGCUAAUAGUUCCUUGGUUUUCUCUGAACAUAAAACUUUUCCCUUCUCCAACUGAACUAAACUGGAUAGUCCACUGCCUUACUCCAAUCAGGCAGUGACGACAGUGAAGAAGUGUUCGGACAGGAGACCACUGCCUUAUGUUAGAAGCCCUUCCAACUGAACAACUACCUAUAUAGAUGAGCCAAUUUGAGGAGAUCAGCACUGCAGCGACACAACGGGGAAGGAAAUCCUAUAAUAACUUGGCAUGUAACUGUUCUCUUUGUCAAACCUUUGUAAUUUUUUUCUAUUUUUAUGUGGUGAGUGUACUCCUUGGUAUGCAAUUUACUCCAGUUAUUGACAA
Triticum aestivum (bread wheat) is the source of this 2172-nucleotide long non-coding RNA. RefSeq lists it as uncharacterized. The transcript is spliced from 2 exons. The record is from RefSeq and is a predicted model, not a curated record. NCBI's taxonomy places the organism in Eukaryota, Viridiplantae, Streptophyta, Magnoliopsida, Poales, Poaceae.